RNAcentral lists this unclassified non-coding RNA (201 nucleotides) under soil metagenome. RNAcentral describes it as "partial contains 5.8S ribosomal RNA, internal transcribed spacer 2, and large subunit ribosomal RNA". The record is from RNAcentral.
AACGCACGAGACCUGCGGACCUGCGGAAGGAUCAUUAUAGAGUUUUCUAAACUCCCAACCCAUGUGAACUUACCUUUUGUUGCCUCGGCAGAAGUUAUAGGUCUUCUUAUAGCUGCUGCCGGUGGACCAUUAAACUCUUGUUAUUUUAUGUAAUCUGAGCGUCUUAUUUUAAUAAGUCAAAACUUUCAACAAUGGAUCUCU